GUGGGGAAUAUUGGACAAUGGGCGAAAGCCUGAUCCAGCCAUGCCGCGUGUGUGAAGAAGGUCUUCGGAUUGUAAAGCACUUUAAGUUGGGAGGAAGGGCAGUAAGUUAAUACCUUGCUGUUUUGACGUUACCGACAGAAUAAGCACCGGCUAACUUCGUGCCAGCAGCCGCGGUAAUACGAAGGGUGCAAGCGUUAAUCGGAAUUACUGGGCGUAAAGCGCGCGUAGGUGGUUUUGUAAGUUGGAGGUGAAAUCCCCGGGCUCAACCUGGGAACUGCCUCCAAAACUGCAUGACUAGAGUACGGUAGAGGGUAGUGGAAUUUCCUGUGUAGCGGUGAAAUGCGUAGAUAUAGGAAGGAACACCAGUGGCGAAGGCGACUACCUGGACUGAUACUGACACUGAGGUGCGAAAGCGUGGGGAGCAAACAGGAUUAGAAACCCUGGUA
Molecule: ribosomal RNA, 446 nt
Filed under: uncultured bacterium
Lineage: Bacteria
Description: partial 16S ribosomal RNA
Rfam family: Bacterial small subunit ribosomal RNA
Source: RNAcentral